UACGGAGGGUGCAAGCGUUAAUCGGAAUUACUGGGCGUAAAGCGCGCGUAGGCGGUUUGAUAAGCAGGAUGUGAAAGCCCUGGGCUUAACCUAGGAAUGGCAUUCUGAACUGUCUGACUGGAGUAUGGUAGAGGGUAGUGGAAUUUCCUGUGUAGCGGUGAAAUGCGUAGAUAUAGGAAGGAACACCAGUGGCGAAGGCGACUACCUGGACCAAUACUGACGCUGAGGUGCGAAAGCGUGGGGAGCAAACAGG
RNAcentral lists this unclassified non-coding RNA (253 nucleotides) under uncultured Alteromonadales bacterium. Its description in RNAcentral is "contains 16S-23S intergenic spacer region". It matches the Rfam family "Bacterial small subunit ribosomal RNA", at positions 524 to 776 of the family's 1533-position model. Lineage: Bacteria; Pseudomonadati; Pseudomonadota; Gammaproteobacteria; Alteromonadales. The record is from RNAcentral.